CUCUUAUCAAGAGUGGUGGAGGGAAAGGCCCUAUGAAACCCAGCAACCUUCAAACACAUGUUGUUUGAAACGGUGCUAAUACCUGCAGAGUGUAAUCUGCGUGAUAAGAG
Molecule: non-coding RNA, 110 nt
Filed under: Bacillus manliponensis
Lineage: Bacteria; Bacillati; Bacillota; Bacilli; Caryophanales; Bacillaceae
Description: SAM-I sequence
Rfam family: SAM riboswitch aptamer (S box leader)
About the family: The SAM riboswitch is found upstream of a number of genes which code for proteins involved in methionine or cysteine biosynthesis in Gram-positive bacteria. The SAM riboswitch acts at the level of transcription termination control.
Source: Rfam by way of RNAcentral